CCCUUAUUAACCAGACAAUGGACGAGCCGACUUCCGGUUGCUUCGCGCCGAAGCGGCCACACACAGCGGACCUGGCACUAUUUAUCCAGGCCGCUGGGUGGCGCUCGGGUUUGGCCGGCCGAUGGAGGAAAAGCAACGCGAAAGACCGGCAACACAGACGCUGACAAACACUGAACACAGGUAUGUAUUAACACGAUAACAUGACAAAACAUAGGAACAUAGAAACAAAAGACAACUCAGGUAUGUAUGCGUGUUGUUAUGCGCAGCAUGGAUACUGAUGGGGAUGGAAAUGGAGUGGAUAUGUUUGCGUGUAUGAAGACCAACGUACUAAUGGCGUUGCGUGUGCACCCACACCGCCCCAGCAGAGAACGGAGGAUGAGGCAGAGUGAGAGCGGCUGGGACCACCUGACACUGGAUCACCCCCAUGGAAUCCUGGAAAUGGCGGAGUUCAUUCAGCGGAGCCACACCACGGGAGAGCUGGCAUCCCUGAAUUGUGUUUAUUUGUUGGCACCCUGUCGUGAAAACCUUCCCAUCAACUGCAUAUUAAUCUUGUCAGCAAAUUUCUAAAGGUCUUUCUUCCUUUGCAUCCACACCCCUCCCAGCUCAAACUUCUGAUGAAUUUAUGGCCCUCUCCUCACCUCCUCACUCAGCUCAGCCUUGCUCCUGUUCUCCUCCUGUUUCUCGACUCCUCUACUCCUUUCCUUUCCGGUCCAUAUACAUGUCCUGUAUAUCCACACAUGCAUUAAUACACAGGCUUCAUUGGUGACAUGUAGCCAUCAUAGAAGGUCAGUAAGAGCUCCAGUGAACAGAAACCUCUCAAUCCUGCUGAGAGCCCAUCUACUGGCUAAAGUAAUGGCGACAAUCACAAUCUGGCUGAAUACACCUAUAGACUGAAAGUAAUCAUUAUUGGCUUACAUUCUCUCACUCUGACUGUAAACAUUGGACUGGAAAAGGUGCAUUGCUAAUAUAAAUCUGCAAAUUACCAGGCCCACGUGGUAUGUGUGCCGUGCGUGCAAAACUUUAUACUUUAAGAAAAGUCUGUCUUAAUAUGAUUUUCCAUAUUCAUUUCUCACAGAUGUUUUACCUGUAUUUUCAAUUAUGAAAGGAAAUAUCUGUUACUGGUAAUUUUUUUUGCUAGGACAUGUUUUUUUCUUACAGUGACCAGCUCAGCAGGUUACUGUCAUUCAUAAAAUUAUAAAAAUGUCCUAUGUUAUGUUAGGCUUAUUUAUAUACUAUUAAAUUGUUUGUC
This 1249-nucleotide long non-coding RNA is filed under the name Sinocyclocheilus anshuiensis. Its description in RNAcentral is "lncRNA (ENSSANG00000042819.1)". Lineage: Eukaryota; Metazoa; Chordata; Actinopteri; Cypriniformes; Cyprinidae. The record is from RNAcentral.